RNAcentral lists this ribosomal RNA (435 nucleotides) under uncultured Staphylococcus sp. RNAcentral's name for it is "bacterial SSU rRNA". It matches the Rfam family "Bacterial small subunit ribosomal RNA", at positions 959 to 1393 of the family's 1533-position model. The record is from RNAcentral. Lineage: Bacteria; Bacillati; Bacillota; Bacilli; Caryophanales; Staphylococcaceae.
ACGCGAAGAACCUUACCAAAUCUUGACAUCCUUUGACCGCUCUAGAGAUAGAGUCUUCCCCUUCGGGGGACAAAGUGACAGGUGGUGCAUGGUUGUCGUCAGCUCGUGUCGUGAGAUGUUGGGUUAAGUCCCGCAACGAGCGCAACCCUUAAGCUUAGUUGCCAUCAUUAAGUUGGGCACUCUAGGUUGACUGCCGGUGACAAACCGGAGGAAGGUGGGGAUGACGUCAAAUCAUCAUGCCCCUUAUGAUUUGGGCUACACACGUGCUACAAUGGAUAAUACAAAGGGCAGCGAAUCCGCGAGGCCAAGCAAAUCCCAUAAAAUUAUUCUCAGUUCGGAUUGUAGUCUGCAACUCGACUACAUGAAGCUGGAAUCGCUAGUAAUCGUAGAUCAGCAUGCUACGGUGAAUACGUUCCCGGGUCUUGUACACACCGA